GACGAACGCUGGCGGCGUGCUUAACACAUGCAAGUCGAACGGAAAGGCCUGCUUUCCCUUGUGGAUUGCGGGUACUCGCGUGGCGAACGGGUGAGUAACACGUGAGUGAUCUGCCCCCAACUUGGGUAUAAGCCUGGGAAACUGGGUCUAAUUCCCGAUAGGACUGCAGGGUGGUGCCUGUGGUGGAAAACGAUUUUCUAGUGGUUGGGGAUGGGCUCGCGGCCUAUCAGCUUGUUGGUGGGGUAAUGGCCGACCAAGGCGGCGACGGGUAGGCGCGCUGGGAGGGUGGACGGGGACAUUGGAACUGGGAUACACCCCAGCGUGCGACGGGAGGCAGCAGUGGGGAAUAAUGGACAAUGGGCUGAAGCCUGAAGCAGCGGCGCGGGAUGGGGGAUGACGGGCUGCGGGUCGUAAACUCCUGGCGAGCGCGGGGUAGCCACCUGGUUGGAAGGGUGGUGACGGUAGUGGUAGAAGAAGCACCGGCUAACUACGUG
This 494-nucleotide ribosomal RNA is filed under the name uncultured bacterium. RNAcentral describes it as "partial 16S ribosomal RNA". It matches the Rfam family "Bacterial small subunit ribosomal RNA", at positions 28 to 507 of the family's 1533-position model. The record is from RNAcentral.